Molecule: long non-coding RNA, 269 nt
Filed under: Sorghum bicolor (sorghum)
Lineage: Eukaryota; Viridiplantae; Streptophyta; Magnoliopsida; Poales; Poaceae
Description: long non-coding RNA (SBIC_LNC017117)
Source: RNAcentral
GCUUGGUUUCAUUAGUCAGUCCGUGUGAUUCACCCGUAGGAAUCCACGGUCUGCUAUUCCCCAAUUGCGCCACAACGGGUAACCGCUAACGAGCUAGAAAAGUUACUCAUACUUAACUAAAGCCAGAGCCAUUAUAGCCCUCAUGGUUGCACUGUUGUCCCGGUUAUCACUUACAGAUAAAUCAUCAAGUGGCUAAAAGUCAUUUUUAUCAUUUAUUACUUGACAUUAAUCUAGUCACAGGAUCAUGGUCACAGAAAUAAAAUCCAAAU